RNAcentral lists this long non-coding RNA (2919 nucleotides) under Citrus maxima (pomelo). RNAcentral's name for it is "long non-coding RNA (CMAX_LNC001805)". The record is from RNAcentral. Lineage: Eukaryota; Viridiplantae; Streptophyta; Magnoliopsida; Sapindales; Rutaceae.
GAAUAAACACAAAACACUUCAUAUCGGUUUUUUUUUCCCCAAGUGUUCAUCCAAAACUCAAACAUCUUUCACCCUUACACGGUUUCACUCUCGUAACAACCUAUCGCCUCAAACCCUUACAUUAGUAACAGCGUUGAUUUUGUCUCAUGUCCCGGCAUCGAUUUUGCCUUGUCCCCCGCUAUCGAUUUGGCCAUCAUCGAGAUCCACAUGAGGAACCCACUGAACGUGUGCUGCUAUCGUUGCAUUUCAAAACCCUAACUGAAAACCCACCAUUGAUUAAGCUCAAUUUUUUUUAUUAACACAGGUAAUUAUUCUCCUUAUUUUCUCUUGCAUGUCAAUUUAAUUAAAAUUUUUUGCCAAUUUCAACACUAAAGGUGUAGUUCUAAGCACUAAAGGUUUAUCUCAAAUUUGUUCACUGUGUUAGAAAAAUGGAAUUUUUCCUUUUGUGCUCAAAUGUACUAGUUUGUUGAAAUGAACGAAAUCUGAACCUAUAGAAUGAUUUCGGUUUUGUUCUUGUGCGGCUAAUCACCUUAACAUUUUGUUCAGUCUUCAAAUUGGGGAUCCAAUUAUUUUCUUCUCAGUUCUUGUGCGGUCGAUCUUCUUUGUUGGCCGAGGGCUUUGCACCUAUGCUUCCAUUGAUGUUAUCGCAGCAGCACAGUCGAUUUGGGUCUUUUAAUACUUGAUUCUUUGAGGAAAAGUAACAUGUCUGCUUCAUGGACAUUUGUUGGAGCAAAGACUUUAGUAGAUAAUAAUGCUACUUCUGAGGUUAGCAUGACUUUGAUGCUCUGUUUUUGUAUGCAUUUAGUUACUGUACAAUUUUUGUUGCAAAGGCCUUACUGCUUAGCUUAGUUUUGCUUACUCAAUUAGUUAUAAUUUUUUUAAUUUGGCUGUGGUUUUUUGCAAAAUUUCUUUCCAAUCCAUAUUAGUUCACCUUUCUGACCAACUUGGAUAUAAAGACUGCGUCUAUUGGCUGUGGUUUUUUGCAAAAUGUCGUUCCAAUCCAUAUUAUAUAUUAUUAAUCUUUCAUUUGCAAUUGGUAUCGUAUGAAUAGCUUCAAUAUUGAAAUUUUAAUGAGUUUUUGAAGCUGGCUGUAGGAUGUGCAAGAAUUUAUUUUACCUUUCUGACCAACCUGGAUAUAUUAUUAAAACUCUAUCUAUUAGCUAUGUUUUUUGCAACGUUUCUUUUCAAUUCCUAUGAUUUACUUAUCAAUCUAUGCUCCAGAGCCUUAUGCCAAGAAUGGUUUUGCAUUUUAAUCAUAUUUCCUGCUACUCAAUGCGAUGAUUUUAUUUUUCACUCGGUGGACAGAGAGUUGGGUUUUACCUUUUCAUUUUCUAUUAGCAAACAUCAAUGGCAUCAUGAGAUCUUAUACAAUGGACUAAGGGCUGCUCUAAAGAGGAUAUGGUUAAUCGUACUUUCUCUACUCCUAUUUUGUAGCAUUUUAAUAAUGAUCCUACAACUAGAUAAUUGUAGUUGUAGCUUCCAGACUUGUUGAUUGUCCAAAAUAAGUGUUAACUGUAUUGAUAGUUUGUCUGCAUUGAUAGUUUGUCAUUCUUGCAUACAAAUAGACACUUUAGGUAUCAUAUAAAGCUGCAAAAAUUAGGGCUUGCGAGGAAUUGUUUGAUGCAAUUUUCAGAUGUUUCAUUGUAGUAUAUUUGCAUAUUUUCAUCCAUCAAAAUUUUUAUUCAAUAAUAUGAUUUACUUUUAUCAGAUCAUUGUAAACAUAUGAAAAAGUCACCUUUCACAAUGAUAGUAACCUUUUUGCUUUGUUUUAGAAUUACUUUGAUUUCCCUAUAUUACUUUUGAUUUGCAUAUCAGCAUCUUAAAAUUUGUUGCUAUUCUAGUCUUAUACUUAAGUAGUCAACAUACACAUCAAUACUUUCAUUACUAAAGAAAUUUAGUUUAGUCUGUGCCUUUGCUUAUAGUUAGCAGUCAAAUCUUUCAUCUGAUUUGCAGUGUUUCAUUCUCCAUUCAAGCACGUAGGAGUUAAGAUUGCUUGAAAAGCUUUCCAUGAGGAAAGGCGUGAACUUCAUUUCUUUGAUGAAUUUACUAAUUUACUUUUAUCACUUGCUUACACUUAGAAUUAAUUAUAUCAUACAUUGCCUCAAAAUCACUUUAGGUACUCAAGUCUUAUUUUCAAAACACCAAAAUCUCAUUCAAUUCUUUUUAAUGCAGCCUUAUAUACUUACACUUUUGUUUAGACCUUAUGGAAUUCUUAUAAUUGAUAUGACAACCUCUACUAUGUAUUACUUGGAUUCAAUAGUUAGUGUAGCACACGUGCAUGCAAUUAGAGCGGCCAGCUGCAUGUUUGCUUGCUUCACUGAUAUCUUUGGAUUUUGAUUGUGCUUAAAGCCAAACCAAAAAGCUAUGCAUAUCAUAAAAGAAGCUCCAUCGCAUCACAUCAGUGAGCUUUCAAAAAAGUCUGUGGUAAUUGCAAGAGAGAUGUUUUAAGAUCAUUUUCCCCACCAUGUUUUGAUGAUGUUAUAUUUACUUGUGCAGUUACCUAGCUUGUUACACUUGCUAUGUUGGAAUUUGAUGAAGAUGGUGGGUAUUGCUGGAGUUGGCCAUCUUUUUCUUUGACACAAAAACAGGUCCUGAGUAUUGGUGCAUCUUUGCACAUUUUUAGCUUCUUCUUAGAUUGGUAUUUGCUGUAUGCUUCACUAAAACUGCUAGAAUGAAUUUUUUUUUUUUUUUGGUCUGAUCAGUGUUGUUGGCUUUGUUGUGUUGCUGGAAACGAACUGAUCAUGGUUCAUUAGUCUCAAAACUGCUAGUCUUCUACAUGUCGCUGAAAUUUGGUUUUUAUGUUGUUACAAUACUCUUCUAUUUAUGUUGGACUUGUCAUUUGUAUUUGGUUAAAUUAUGUUUGUUGACAAUUAUCGAUAAUUAUUCAGUGUUAUUCAUUUCAUUUUCUUUGUUAGUGAA